GCAUGUUUCUACUAAUCAUAGACUAUAGUCGUAGAUCAGUCUACCAAUCAUGGAUUGGAGCCGUGGAAAUCAAACUCUUUUCCACUGAUCUAGUCUUUCAACUAUAGACCUAGUUCAUGAGUCAUAGUAUCCAUCCGUGGAAAUCAAAAACUUAUUUUUUUGCAGUAUCUUGUUUACGAUUUGAUUCCACUGGUUGUGGACUAAGUCUACAAUUGAUAGACCCCACCCAUGGAAUUCAAAAUUUUGCCUUCCUCUUAAGAACUUCAUUCACAAACAUGUUUGACAGUUUUUAGAUGAUUCCAUAAUCCAUGGAUGCUUUCCACAGCUCUUCCCUUAGUCAAUUUUGAUCCUUUUUUCUCCAUUUUGCCUCUAAAUCCUAUUCUCCUGCACAAUAUUACAAAACCACAUCAUACUUACCAAAAAUACCUAUGUUCUUGUAUAUUUUCCCAUCUUAAGCAUAGAAAGUGCCAUGAAUUCAUGAAAUAUUGAUACUCUCAACUUAGAACGUUUUCAUAUCCUCAGAAAAACAAAACAAAACAAACACAUACAAUGCUUAACUAAGAGAAACCUAAGGGACCUAUGAUAGUCAAUUUUUUGUUUUUAGCACGAAAUUCAACCCCCUCCUAUAAAAAAAAAAUCAAAAAUCCAUCAUGUGUAUACAUGCAGUACAUUAUGAUGACACAAAAAGGAUUAAGUUAUGACAUCAGAUUGCGAUUAAACAACCAAGUACAUACACAAUAGACAUUACCCAAACCAAUAACAGCCUACAAUGUAACCUAUGUACUGUCACAUCAAAGAAGUACGCUACACUAACCGUAUAACAAUGAAGAUCAAUAUAUGGACUGAAUAAAAGCACUCACUCACAAAAAACUUGAGAAAGUGUGCGUGAAAUAUCAUAGGCUUGUCCUUAUUUUCUAUGCCUUUGUUUCUCGGUCAGUUGGACUAAGAUCACUAUAGGACUUUUAUCGGCAUGUAAUGUAGGCUUAAGGAUGGGUGUGGUAAACAUGGAUAAUGUGACUUAACCCUUCGUGAUACUACACUUAUUUUUGGGUUCCACUUUUUGACCUUACUUAUUUUAUUCUCCAUUGCUUUUUCUUUUUCAGAUUUCAGGUGUGGUUUUCUCUCUACACCUUUUUUCUCUUUUAAUUUUUUAGCGAACUUUAUUCAUCACUCCCCUUUUUACCACACCUAAAUAUAUAUUCUUUUGUUUUACUAACUUCUUAUUCAUACCUAUAUCAGCCUACACAUCCCCCUAUGAUAGCCACUCUUAACUUAGGUAAUUUGCCUGAGUUAAGUACACAAUAUCCAAGAAAGGAUCAAGGCCAAGACAUGUUCAUUGUAAGUAGAAAUGGCAAGGUGAAUAGGCAAAUGAAAAAAGUGGUUGAUUAGAGCUCAAAUUUAGGAUCAAGUAUACUUAUUUCAUUUGGUCGGGCUUUUAGACUACUAUAGACUUAUUCAAGAAUGACCUAUGAUCCUUUCCCAAGCAACUACCCUACAUCCUAGGCAAAACUAACUGAAAAAGUUUUUGAUUACACACACAAAGUAAACUCGGUAAACAAUCUUACACUAUAUUGGGUUAUACUAUCGACUAUUACCUAUCCAGUUCAUGCAUUACUAAGCUAUGAUUAUUUUGUCUAUGAUCUAAAGCUAUGAAAAGAUCCAACAAUGGUCAUAAUUUAACUCAACUAUAACAAGCAGUCUAAAAUAAAAUUUCAGUAGGGGUAGUCUUUAAACAUCAAAAAUCAAUUUUGAAUCAUUCAAAACUAGUUUGCACUAAGGUUUCUUAUUUUUCUCCUAGUUAUAUGCAAAAAAACAUAGUAAAAACAAAACACAAAAACAUCCUAGACAUAUCGAUUCUACCAUGAUACCACACGCGGGGGAAAGAAAAUACGACAAAUAAAACUACUUAGUGGUGGUAUAACCCCACCCCAACUCUGAGAUGAUGCACUAUUCUCAAUGCAUAACUAUAUAAAUAAUAAGACCAAGGGAGUGAAUACAUACCUACGGUGAUCUAUGCGUCGGAUAUGGACUCGCCCGUAGUUGGGAUGUUAGGAGGCACCUCAAGUUCAAAGCUAGAUGGUGGUAGAUACUGACUGGAUAAGGCUCCUAAGUCCUAUUAUUCAUGAGCAAUCAUAUCGACAUGAUACUCAAUUUAGGAUACCUUAUUUGACCUCCUUAGGUCUUUCUUAAAAUCUUUAGGAAUCGUACUAUGGACCUUAGUUCUUCGUGCCCUCCUACCUCUGUUAGUAGGGGGAUCGUCAUCUAUAAAAAGAUCAAACACCAGUACUGGUGCUAUAGAAAUCGACUGGAGAAUGUGUGGUAUAAUAGAAGUAUGGUUAGUCAUUAAUGAUCUGACCACUUACCUUAAUGUAGCCCACCCCUCUAGACAAAUUUAAAAUAUAGGACUCAUGCAGUAGGUCGCCUAUCUAACUCUUAAAACUAUCAAUCUACUCAUUCAACUCUCUCAAAACCUUUUUCAUUACUAUCAUCACUCAAACCUUUACAUGUGUCUCAGAUAUCUCAAUUAAAGUUCGAACCCUUAGCUUUAUCUGGGAUAGCAACUUGGCCAACUAGGUAUCAGUAUGCAUCUGCUUCUCAACUAACUGUGUCUGCUUAUUAACUAAAUACUGGAGAAAAUCAUUUGACACCAAAACCAUUGCAAAAAUGGGUGGAUGUAGAGGUACAAUAGAUGUAAAUAACCCUUCACAACCUACCAGGAUUGUGCUCUUAGUAGGCUAUCUCAGAAACUCUCUCUCACCACUCGGUGUUGGUGUGUCUACCUGCUCAAUCAUAUCUAAUUGCCCUUUAAAUAAGGUUAUAAUCAAUGGCGUUGAAG
RNAcentral lists this long non-coding RNA (2836 nucleotides) under Capsicum annuum. RNAcentral's name for it is "long non-coding RNA (CANN_LNC017098)". Lineage: Eukaryota; Viridiplantae; Streptophyta; Magnoliopsida; Solanales; Solanaceae. The record is from RNAcentral.